GGAAUUUUUGACAAUGGGGGAAACCCUGAUCAAGCAACGCCGCGUGGAUGAUGAAGUAUCUCGGUACGUAAAAUCCUUUCGACAGGGAAGAAACCCAAUCUUCGGAUUGGUCUGACGGUACCUGUAGAAGAAGCCCCGGCUAACUCCGUUCCAGCAGCCGCGGUAAUACGGGGGGGGCAAGCGUUGUUCGGAUUUACUGGGCGUAAAGGGCGCGUAGGCGGUUCGUUAAGUCGGAUGUGAAAACUGUGGGCUCAACCCACAGCCUGCAUCCGAUACUGGCGGACUAGAGUGCGAGAGGGGAAGGCGGAAUUCCUGGUGUAGCGGUGAAAUGCGUAGAUAUCAGGAGGAACACCGGUGGCGAAGGCGGCCUUCUGGAUCGCAACUGACGCUGAGGCGCGAAAGCUAGGGGAGCA
This 413-nucleotide ribosomal RNA is filed under the name uncultured bacterium. RNAcentral describes it as "bacterial SSU rRNA". It matches the Rfam family "Bacterial small subunit ribosomal RNA", at positions 358 to 770 of the family's 1533-position model. The record is from RNAcentral.